GAUGAACGCUGGCGGCGUGCCUAAUACAUGCAAGUCGAGCGAACGGACGAGAAGCUUGCUUCUCUGAUGUUAGCGGCGGACGGGUGAGUAACACGUGGAUAACCUACCUAUAAGACUGGGAUAACUUCGGGAAACCGGAGCUAAUACCGGAUAAUAUUUUGAACCGCAUGGUUCAAAAGUGAAAGACGGUCUUGCUGUCACUUAUAGAUGGAUCCGCGCUGCAUUAGCUAGUUGGUAAGGUAACGGCUUACCAAAGCAACGAUGCAUAGCCGACCUGAGAGGGUGAUCGGCCACACUGGAACUGAGACACGGUCCAGACUCCUACGGGAGGCAGCAGUAGGGAAUCUUCCGCAAUGGGCGAAAGCCUGACGGAGCAACGCCGCGUGAGUGAUGAAGGUCUUCGGAUCGUAAAACUCUGUUAUUAGGGAAGAACAUAUGUGUAAGUAACUGUGCACAUCUUGACGGUACCUAAUCAGAAAGCCACGGCUAACUACGUGCCAGCAGCCGCGGUAAUACGUAGGUGGCAAGCGUUAUCCGGAAUUAUUGGGCGUAAAGCGCGCGUAGGCGGUUUUUUAAGUCUGAUGUGAAAGCCCACGGCUCAACCGUGGAGGGUCAUUGGAAACUGGAAAACUUGAGUGCAGAAGAGGAAAGUGGAAUUCCAUGUGUAGCGGUGAAAUGCGCAGAGAUAUGGAGGAACACCAGUGGCGAAGGCGACUUUCUGGUCUGUAACUGACGCUGAUGUGCGAAAGCGUGGGGAUCAAACAGGAUUAGAUACCCUGGUAGUCCACGCCGUAAACGAUGAGUGCUAAGUGUUAGGGGGUUUCCGCCCCUUAGUGCUGCAGCUAACGCAUUAAGCACUCCGCCUGGGGAGUACGACCGCAAGGUUGAAACUCAAAGGAAUUGACGGGGACCCGCACAAGCGGUGGAGCAUGUGGUUUAAUUCGAAGCAACGCGAAGAACCUUACCAAAUCUUGACAUCCUUUGACAACUCUAGAGAUAGAGCCUUCCCCUUCGGGGGACAAAGUGACAGGUGGUGCAUGGUUGUCGUCAGCUCGUGUCGUGAGAUGUUGGGUUAAGUCCCGCAACGAGCGCAACCCUUAAGCUUAGUUGCCAUCAUUAAGUUGGGCACUCUAAGUUGACUGCCGGUGACAAACCGGAGGAAGGUGGGGAUGACGUCAAAUCAUCAUGCCCCUUAUGAUUUGGGCUACACACGUGCUACAAUGGACAAUACAAAGGGCAGCGAAACCGCGAGGUCAAGCAAAUCCCAUAAAGUUGUUCUCAGUUCGGAUUGUAGUCUGCAACUCGACUACAUGAAGCUGGAAUCGCUAGUAAUCGUAGAUCAGCAUGCUACGGUGAAUACGUUCCCGGGUCU
Molecule: ribosomal RNA, 1372 nt
Filed under: uncultured bacterium
Lineage: Bacteria
Description: bacterial SSU rRNA
Rfam family: Bacterial small subunit ribosomal RNA
Source: RNAcentral